CCUACGGGGGGCAGCAGUGGGGAAUAUUGGACAAUGGGGGGAACCCUGAUCCAGCCAUGCCGCGUGUGUGAAGAAGGCCCUCGGGUUGUAAAGCACUUUCAGUGAGGAAGAACGCCUGGUGGUUAAUACCCAUCAGGAAAGACAUCACUCACAGAAGAAGCACCGGCUAACUCCGUGCCAGCAGCCGCGGUAAUACGGAGGGUGCGAGCGUUAAUCGGAAUUACUGGGCGUAAAGCGCGCGUAGGUGGCUUGAUAAGCCGGUUGUGAAAGCCCCGGGCUCAACCUGGGAACGGCAUCCGGAACUGUCAAGCUAGAGUGCAGGAGAGGAAGGUAGAAUUCCCGGUGUAGCGGUGAAAUGCGUAGAGAUCGGGAGGAAUACCGGUGGCGAAGGCGGCCUUCUGGACUGACACUGACACUGAGGUGCGAAAGCGUGGGUAGCAAACAGGAUUAGAUACCCCAGUAGUC
Molecule: ribosomal RNA, 465 nt
Filed under: Vreelandella stevensii
Lineage: Bacteria; Pseudomonadati; Pseudomonadota; Gammaproteobacteria; Oceanospirillales; Halomonadaceae
Description: partial 16S ribosomal RNA
Rfam family: Bacterial small subunit ribosomal RNA
Source: RNAcentral